Molecule: ribosomal RNA, 375 nt
Filed under: uncultured bacterium
Lineage: Bacteria
Description: bacterial SSU rRNA
Rfam family: Bacterial small subunit ribosomal RNA
Source: RNAcentral
AUACGGAGGGUGCGAGCGUUAAUCGGAAUCACUGGGCGUAAAGCGCGCGUAGGCGGCGAUGUAAGUCAGGUGUGAAAGCCCUCGGCUCAACCGGGGAAUUGCACUUGAUACUGCAUUGCUUGAGUAUCGGAGAGGAUGGCGGAAUUCCAGGUGUAGGAGUGAAAUCCGUAGAUAUCUGGAGGAACACCAGUGGCGAAGGCGGCCAUCUGGACGAUCACUGACGCUGAGGUGCGAAAGCGUGGGUAGCAAACAGGAUUAGAUACCCUGGUAGUCCACGCCGUAAACGAUGGAUACUAGGUGUCGGGGGCUAACCCCUUCGGUGCCGCAGUUAACGCGUUAAGUAUCCCGCCUGGGGAGUACGGUCGCAAGGCUGAA